RNAcentral lists this ribosomal RNA (226 nucleotides) under uncultured Actinomycetales bacterium. RNAcentral's name for it is "partial 16S ribosomal RNA". It matches the Rfam family "Bacterial small subunit ribosomal RNA", at positions 104 to 334 of the family's 1533-position model. The record is from RNAcentral. Lineage: Bacteria; Bacillati; Actinomycetota; Actinomycetes; Actinomycetales.
GGGUGAGUAACACGUGGGUGAUCUGCCCUGCACUUCGGGAUAAGCUUGGGAAACUGGGUCUAAUACCGGAUAGGAGCCAUCUUUAGUGUGAUGGUUGGAAAGUUUUUCGGUGUAGGAUGAGCUCGCGGCCUAUCAGCUUGUUGGUGGGGUAAUGGCCUACCAAGGCGGCGACGGGUAGCCGGCCUGAGAGGGUGGACGGCCACAUUGGGACUGAGAUACGGCCCAG